This 21-nucleotide non-coding RNA is filed under the name Arabidopsis thaliana (thale cress). The record is from RNAcentral. Lineage: Eukaryota; Viridiplantae; Streptophyta; Magnoliopsida; Brassicales; Brassicaceae.
UAUAAUCGUACCUCCGAGUUA